Molecule: ribosomal RNA, 631 nt
Filed under: Mycale cf. alagoana GLH-2013
Lineage: Eukaryota; Metazoa; Porifera; Demospongiae; Poecilosclerida; Mycalidae
Description: partial 16S ribosomal RNA
Rfam family: Bacterial large subunit ribosomal RNA
Source: RNAcentral
ACAUAGCUUUCCGGUGAGUUUGGAGCUCCCAGUAUGGGAGGUGAGGCCUGCCCAAUGGUUGUAUCUGAAUUUAGACGGUAAGAUAAGUUGUUUGAUUAAAGGCAAUUGAAUGGCCGCGGUAACUCUGACCGUGAUAAUGUAGCGCAAUCAAUCGUCAAUUAAUAGUUGACAAGUAUGAAUGGCGUAACGAGUGCCCCACUGUCUCAAGAUAAAAACCAGUGAAAUUGAAAUGGUGGUGAAGAUGCUACCCACAAAUUGUAAGACGAGAAGACCCCGUUGAGCUUUACUGGAGGCUUGAAUUGUUUUGUAAAAUGGUGAUUGUGUGGUUACACCCCUGCAAGUUUAAGAAAACCAAUAGGGCCAUGCCCGUGGAAGUUCAAGUUGGACAGUUUGAUUGGGGCGAUGGCCUUCUAAAGAGUAACGAAGGUGAACAAAGGUAAUGAGAUAAUAUAAUGAAAAGCCUGACAGUAAGGGGGGCAGACAAGCUGACACAGAGAGGAAGAUGCUGUGGGUUAUAGUGACCCGUUAGUUAAGGGUGGAUUUACUAGCGACUAACCAAUAAAAGUUACCAAGGGGAUAACAGCGUAAUUUACGUCUGAGAGUUCAUAUUGAUGACGGAGUUUCCCACCUC